RNAcentral lists this transfer RNA (82 nucleotides) under Microcaldota archaeon. RNAcentral describes it as "tRNA-Val". It matches the Rfam family "tRNA". From Rfam's summary of the family: Transfer RNA (tRNA) molecules are approximately 80 nucleotides in length. Their secondary structure includes four short double-helical elements and three loops (D, anti-codon, and T loops). The record is from RNAcentral. Lineage: Archaea; Nanobdellati; Microcaldota.
GGGCCCGUAGUCGAACNNCGACAAUGGUUAAGACGUCGCUCUUACACAGCGAAGACUCCCGGUUCGAUUCCGGGCGGGCCCA